GGCAAUAUGGCCGAGCGGUCUAAGGCGCCAGAAUCAGGCUUUCUGCUUAAUCUGGUCCGAAAGGGCGUGGGUUCGAAUCCCACUGUUGUCA
Molecule: non-coding RNA, 91 nt
Organism: Earliella scabrosa
Lineage: Eukaryota; Fungi; Basidiomycota; Agaricomycetes; Polyporales; Polyporaceae
Source: the annotation of a GenBank genome assembly